AACAUCGGUGACAGAGAAAUCUGAGACUCGACAUAAUAAUUUUUAAUUUUGUGAUAAACACAACGCAACCGCAAUUGAGGUUGCAUUGCACAUUUGCACCUGUCACAUUUGACUGUAAUCCUCUGCAAUAUCAAAACGUGAUCACCCUAUUAACACGAUCGCGUAGCACGGAUUUACUUGAAUUUCAUGGAUCACUAAGGAAGGGAAUUUGGGAGUACUGGAUGUACAUAGAAUAUUUCCUCCAUCUUUUUAAUUCCUGAGAAACUCUUGAUGUCUCUCUUCAACUCAGCUCUAAUAUUUGGAUUUGCAGCCACUGCCAUAUUAGAUUUUUACUAUA
RNAcentral lists this long non-coding RNA (337 nucleotides) under Trifolium pratense (red clover). RNAcentral's name for it is "long non-coding RNA (TPRA_LNC004337)". Lineage: Eukaryota; Viridiplantae; Streptophyta; Magnoliopsida; Fabales; Fabaceae. The record is from RNAcentral.